CACGCAGGCGGUCGUGUAAGUUUGGGGUUACAGCUCCCGGCUCAACUGGGAGAGCGCCUUGAAGACUGCAGGACUUGAGGGCCAGAGAGGGACACAGAAUUCCGGGUGUAGUGGUGAAAUGCGUAGAUAUCCGGAGGAGUACCAAAGGCGAAGGCAGUGUCCUGGCUGGUGACUGACGCUGAGGUGCGAAAGCUAGGGGAGCGAACGGGAUUAGAUACCCCGGUAGUCCUAGCCGUAAACGAUGACCACUAGGUGUGGGAGGUAUCGACCCCUUCCGUGCCGCAGCUAACGUGAUAAGUGGUCCGCCUGGGGAGUACGGUCGCAAGAUUAAA
This 332-nucleotide ribosomal RNA is filed under the name uncultured bacterium. RNAcentral's name for it is "bacterial SSU rRNA". It matches the Rfam family "Bacterial small subunit ribosomal RNA", at positions 568 to 898 of the family's 1533-position model. The record is from RNAcentral.